CAGGACGAACGCUGGCGGCGCGCUUAACACAUGCAAGUCGAGCGAUGAAAUCUUGACAGAACCCUUCGGGGUGAAGAUAAGAUGGAUUAGCGGCGGACGGGUGAGUAACACGUGAGUAACCUGCCUUAGACAUUGGGAUAGCCUCGGGAAACCGGGAUUAAUACCAAAUGAAAUCAAAUAUGCACAUGCAUAAAUGAUCAAAGCUCCGGCGGUCUAAGAUGGACUCGCGUCCCAUUAGCUAGUUGGUGAGGUAACGGCCCACCAAGGCGACGAUGGGUAGCCGGCCUGAGAGGGUGAACGGCCACAUUGGAACUGAGAAACGGUCCAAACUCCUACGGGAGGCAGCAGUGGGGAAUAUUGCACAAUGGAGGGAACUCUGAUGCAGCGACGCCGCGUGAACGAAGAAGGCUUUCGAGUCGUAAAGUUCUUUUAUAUGGGAAGAUAAUGACGGUACCAUAAGAAAAAGCCCCGGCUAACUACGUGCCAGCAGCCGC
Molecule: ribosomal RNA, 494 nt
Filed under: Peptoniphilus sp. MML-11-258
Lineage: Bacteria; Bacillati; Bacillota; Tissierellia; Tissierellales; Peptoniphilaceae
Description: bacterial SSU rRNA
Rfam family: Bacterial small subunit ribosomal RNA
Source: RNAcentral